RNAcentral lists this transfer RNA (76 nucleotides) under Nitrospirota bacterium. Its description in RNAcentral is "Nitrospirae bacterium (volcano metagenome) tRNA-His". It matches the Rfam family "tRNA". Rfam says of the family: Transfer RNA (tRNA) molecules are approximately 80 nucleotides in length. Their secondary structure includes four short double-helical elements and three loops (D, anti-codon, and T loops). Further hydrogen bonds mediate the characteristic L-shaped molecular structure. tRNAs have two regions of fundamental functional importance: the anti-codon, which is responsible for specific mRNA codon recognition, and the 3' end, to which the tRNAs corresponding amino acid is attached (by aminoacyl-tRNA synthetases). tRNAs cope with the degeneracy of the genetic code in two manners: having more than one tRNA (with a specific anti-codon) for a particular amino acid; and 'wobble' base-pairing, i.e. permitting non-standard base-pairing at the 3rd anti-codon position. Lineage: Bacteria; Pseudomonadati; Nitrospirota. The record is from RNAcentral. RNAcentral also lists the same sequence under 1 other name.
GUGAGUGUAGCUCAACGGUUAGAGCGCUGGACUGUGGCUCCAGGUGUUGGGGGUUCGAGUCCCCUCACUCACCCCA